GUACGUAGGGGCGAGCGUUGUCCGGAUUUAUUGGGCGUAAGAGCUCGUAGGCGGCUCGUUGCGUCGGCUGUGAAAACCCGGGGCUCAACUCCGGGCCUGCAGCCGGAUACGGGCAGACUAGAGUUCGGCAGGGGAGACUGGAAUUCCUGGUGUAGCGGUGAAAUGCGCAGAUAUCAGGAGGAACACCGGUGGCGAAGGCGGGUCUCUGGGCCGAUACUGACGUGGAGGAGCGAAAGCGUGGGGAGCGAACAGG
Molecule: ribosomal RNA, 253 nt
Filed under: uncultured bacterium
Lineage: Bacteria
Description: partial 16S ribosomal RNA
Rfam family: Bacterial small subunit ribosomal RNA
Source: RNAcentral